UCCAACAGUCACCUUAUUGUGGUGGUUUCAGGCACAACAGGGAGCUGCCCACGUUUUUCAAACGAGGACAAUAAAACCUUUAAGUCUGCUCUGACCAGCAGGUUAAUCAUCUUUGCCUUUUGGGAUCAUCCAGAGCAAGAAUUUCCAUGCUGAGACUUAGCUUUGCCUUUUCGGUGUCUGCUGAAUUUUAAAAUUAAGAGGUUUCUUUCACAAUUAAUGUUUUUAGCCUUUAUUUUAGCAGCCUAACUUUUACUCAGAUUUCUGCUUCACUUCAGCGUUUUCAGUAAAUUUGAGCUGCUCUCUUUUGGGUUCUGUUGGGUUCCUGGGUGUUUCCUGUCUGUGGUUGGGGUUGCUGUUUCCCCGUCCAUCCUUCAGGGGGCGCCUGGCAGCCAUUCCUGGAGGGCGUGGACCAGCUGAUAUUCAUCACCUGCACUGCAUGAUCUCAUUUGGAGGAGCAUAAGAGGAGGAGGCAGCCCACACACCAGUGCCAGAGUGUUUUGCCAGUUUUUGGUAUUACAGGCCAUCUGAAGUUAUCCAGUGAUCGAACUUUGUGAAUUUCUAGUGAUUCUUUGUUUUUUUUUGUGCCUCCAUAGGAACUCUCACUACAGAAGCUGUGAACCCCUUAGUGGAAAUCCAGCGCAGAACCUCUCCUUGUGACGCCGGUGGAUUAUUGCCCACCGGAUGCCCAAGUCCCUGAAUCCCACCUUGGUGAUCGGAUCUCCACGCUCGCUGCCCUCCUCUCUCCGGCCAUAACGAAACCCGCCCAGAUCUCGUCCGCCCUCCAGAGCUGCCCCACCACCAUUAGCGAAGCAGCAACACUCAACCUCAAGUAAUCCGGCCAGGAUCCUUCAGAUCUUCCCCCCCCCCGGUCCGUAUCAUCUCAGCUGAACUCCAACCAGAAGCAUCGAAUCCUCUCCGGACCAGUUUUUCCCCUUUUCCUCUGACUGUCAUUCCCUGCAAUAAAUAUCAUUUUACUGAU
This is a long non-coding RNA of Xiphophorus hellerii (green swordtail), 979 nucleotides long. RefSeq lists it as uncharacterized. The transcript is spliced from 2 exons. Lineage: Eukaryota; Metazoa; Chordata; Actinopteri; Cyprinodontiformes; Poeciliidae. The record is from RefSeq and is a predicted model, not a curated record.